Molecule: ribosomal RNA, 818 nt
Filed under: Pseudomonas sp.
Lineage: Bacteria; Pseudomonadati; Pseudomonadota; Gammaproteobacteria; Pseudomonadales; Pseudomonadaceae
Description: partial 23S ribosomal RNA
Rfam family: Bacterial large subunit ribosomal RNA
Source: RNAcentral
GAUCAAGCGCAUAAGGGCUUCUAGUGGAUGCCUUGGCAUUGAGAGGCGAUGAAGGACGUGGCACGCUGCGAUAAGAACCGGGGAGGCGCGAGCACCCUUUGAUCCGGUUAUUUCCGAAUGGGGAAACCCACCUUUGCAGCCUGCCAAUUUAGCUGCCGGUUCUUCUUCGGAAGGGCUGACGGCUCGGUUGGUUGGUUGCGAUAAGGUAUAAUGAACUGAAUACAUAGGUUCAUUAAGCGAACCCGGGGAACUGAAACAUCUCAGUACCUGGAGGAAAGGACAUCAACAGAGACUCCCCUAGUAGUGGCGAGCGAACGGGGACCAGGCCAGUGCUGUCGUGAAAUAAAACCGAAGGAUUUGGAAAGGUCCGCCAUAGUGGGUGAUAGCCCCGUAGGUAUCAAAUAGCGACAGACUCGAGUAGGGCGGGACACGUGAAAUCCUGUCUGAACAUGGGGGGACCACCCUCCAAGCCUAAGUACUCCUCAAUGACCGAUAGUGAACUAGUACCGUGAGGGAAAGGUGAAAAGCACCCCGACAAGGGGAGUGAAAUAGUACCUGAAACCGGAAGCCUACAAGCAGUCGGAGCUGCCUCGCGCAGUGACGGCGUACCUUUUGUAUAAUGGGUCAGCGACUUCAUGUGUCGAGCAAGCUUAAGCCGUUAGGUGUAGGCGCAGCGAAAGCGAGUCUGAAUAGGGCGCUCAAGUUCGACGUAUGACGACCCGAAACCAGGUGAUCUAUCCAUGAGCAGGAUGAAGGUUGGGUAACACCAACUGGAGGUCCGAACCCGUGAAUGUUGAAAAAUUCUGGGAUGACUUGUG